RNAcentral lists this long non-coding RNA (820 nucleotides) under Mytilus galloprovincialis (Mediterranean mussel). The record is from RNAcentral. Lineage: Eukaryota; Metazoa; Mollusca; Bivalvia; Mytilida; Mytilidae.
CCCCCUAAAAUCAUGUUGUCCCCUGUGUUUUUUUGAAAACUAAAUCAUUCAAAUAAUAUCCAAAUUAACUAAACAGGCGUCCGAUUCUCACAUAUAUGAUAUAUUAUUUAAUAAACUUGCCCCUAAUUUGUCUUUUUAUAUUAUAACUAUAGCAUGUAAUAAAAUUUUGCAAAUUUUAAGAGAAAAAAAAUUUGUCCCCAGGGGUGAUUUCCCUCCUGUUACCACUGGUUUUUUUUUUACCUGUGGAAACGUUUACAAGACCAAAAGUUAUUUUCCCAUUAUGUAUUGUGAAGAGCAUCAUUCCCUGAAUGUAUUAGUACAAAGAAAUAGUUGGAAAGGCGGCCAGGUUUGAAAAUUCAAGCCCAUCCAAGGUAAGAAUUUAUAGAAAAAUACUUAUUGGUGUUCUAUCCUGUUAUAGCCUUUUUUUACACUUUCUGAGAAUAUUUUUAAGUGUGCACCACAACAUUAAGUGUGUUUUUAUAUCAUCUUUUUAAAAGUUAUAUGUCACAGGAAAUACACUUACAUUUAAUGUGAUAAAAAGGACAAAAACUAUCGCGUAAUUCCUUUCUGUUACGUUCUGUCAUGUUACCUGAUCAAAAGUAACAGCAUAACCAUAAUCAGUAACAGGAAGGAUGUUCAAGACAAUUUCACUGAAGAAUCAAACAGUUAAUCUACUAUAUGCCAACCAUUUCAUUUAAUAUAAGUUAUCACCCCCAUAUCAAAUAAAUUUCAAAAUAAUAUACAGUAUAUUGAAUAAAAAAAUAGGUUUUUUGCUUUUGAUAACAGCAGAGAACAUUGUGCAAUUCUAGUAUAGUAGAUA